This is a long non-coding RNA of Hypanus sabinus (Atlantic stingray), 1267 nucleotides long. RefSeq lists it as uncharacterized. The transcript has 3 exons. NCBI's taxonomy places the organism in Eukaryota, Metazoa, Chordata, Chondrichthyes, Myliobatiformes, Dasyatidae. The record is from RefSeq and is a predicted model, not a curated record.
ACCUCCUACCUGAUGCAUGCCUGGAGCUGAAUUCAUCAGCUAGUGCCUAACAAAUUGGCCAAUUCUGGACUAAACAAAGCAGCCCAUGUGAUGAAGUACUGGCAGACUGACUCGUUAACACUGGAUAUGCUGUGCAAGUGUCACCUCAACACACACGAGGCUCCCGUUUCAUCCUACAACAGGCUGGAUGGAUAUACACGUUGCACCAGUGACCUGCCACAAACUGAAUUCUGUUCAAAUAGAUGUUUAUGCAAAUGUUAGUCAAAUAUCCAGCUGGUUUCCAUGCAUAUGAUACAGCAUGCUGUCUCACUAAUCAGCACCUGAGCAAGGAGAACAUUUCCUGGUCAUUGUCCACCAUGUUCCCUCUCAAGGGAGCUGUCUGAUUCCACAGUCCAAUUCCCCAGGAAUAUAGCUGGUGUCUCUGCGUUCCCGAUGAACCGUCCCACCCUCUGGAUUAUGCCUUUGAACAUGAUGAACUGGGCAGAUCCUUUCUAAUAGCAGGUCCCAACCCGACAGAGAUUGCAGAAAAUUCCUUCAACGGUGCUGCGAGUAUCCUGGGAGAAAGGUGGAUCUCUGAAGGAAAGUUUCCUCAUUGAAUGCAUCCGUUCAUUGGUGAUGUUGAGGAGGCCAAAAGACUUCUGGCAGGAGAGCUAAAGGCAUUUCUGAAUUUGCUCAAUUGGAGCUGGAAGCCUGAGCAACACGAUCUCAUUAAUUGAGAACGAAGGGGCAGUAAAACAGCCCUGGGGCGGGUCUGGUUCCAGAUUCGGUGCAGGCUGCUGCUGUGGUUUGCAGGUUUAGGGCUUGCGACGAUGAGCAGCAGAGGUCAAUUGAAAAUGCCUUGAGGCUGCCUCUGACUUUGCUCUCCCACAGAGCAAGGUUUGUUGCCACUUGCUGUUUGUUAUUCGACAGCUUUCUAGGCCAAGGAAUGGGGUUUGAUCCUACACAGUAGUAUGUUUUGUCACUCCAAAAACUAAUCAAAGAAAAACACUCGGCUGGAGAUAAACCUUAAGUUUCACUUUAGUGUAUUUUUUUGCUCUCUUCCUCUCUGCACAUUGGAUGUUUGGUCUUUUUUAUGUGUUCUUUAUUUUGCAGCUGCCUGUAAGGAGGUGAAUCUCAGGGUUGUAUAAUGGAUACACACUUUGACAAUGAAUGUAUUUUGAACUUGUGAUGUGGUGUAAUGACGUAUGCUAUUCACAUACUUUUAUGUACAACCCAUAAUGAAUUAUUUAAUAAACAAAGAAUGCUUAAUCGGACAAUGUAUUUACAA